RNAcentral lists this long non-coding RNA (452 nucleotides) under Physcomitrium patens. Its description in RNAcentral is "long non-coding RNA (PPAT_LNC010769)". Lineage: Eukaryota; Viridiplantae; Streptophyta; Bryopsida; Funariales; Funariaceae. The record is from RNAcentral.
UGGAAAACAGAAUUAAAAGUAGGCAAAUUCUUAUGCAAGUGACAGUGUGGCCACACAUGCAGCAUUUGUUUGACAUAAAAUCUUUAGAUGAAGAAUUAUUCAGAAAUGAUUAAUUACCCAUGAAUGAUUUUCAUACAAAGGAUGCACAAGGAGAUUGUAUUCAUAUUGUAUUUUAAAACAAUGCGAGAGAAUGAAUCACACAAUUAUGAGGACUGCCGCAAUCCAUGUGAGGACGUUGGAUGCCAGUUGGAGGUUGAAGAUGAAUGAAAGAAUGAGGAUUCAGUGCCCUGACAAAAUCUGCAGUCACAGCUUUAAGAGGAGGCUUUUGAAGAACAAGUGUGGAGUGAAUGAACCGCCUGCUAACAUAUGUUGAGGAAUUUUAAGUUAUUAUGUAUAAAUAUAAAUAUAUAUAUAUAUAUACACACAUGUACAAGAUUGUAGGUCAGACUGUG